RNAcentral lists this long non-coding RNA (739 nucleotides) under Olea europaea (common olive). RNAcentral describes it as "long non-coding RNA (OEUR_LNC007179)". The record is from RNAcentral. Lineage: Eukaryota; Viridiplantae; Streptophyta; Magnoliopsida; Lamiales; Oleaceae.
UCCAAUAAGUUUUUGUGUACUCAAUUCUUUUGUGUAAUGCAAGUUAGUCCUUCUCUUCAUUUUCUCCUCAAUUUUGAUCCUCCAUCUUUUAUUCCGCGAGAUUUUGUCCACAAACUCAAUGUAAUAGCCAACUGAUUAUUUUCUUUUCCAAUUGCUUCAAAACGGAUCCAUAACUAAAAACAAAAGAAAAUUAACACAAGUUAGGUAAAAAUUGAUAAUUUGACGACAUAAAAACCUAAUUAUGUAGUCCGAAUAAGUGCAUAAAAUGCAGUUAUCAACUUGGUUCAAAAAAAAAUUUAUAUUUUGGUGUAUAGUUGAGUGAAUUGAAAUUUUAUAUUUUGGUGUAAUAAUUGAUUGAACUUUUAUGUUUCUAGUGCUUAACAUUGGCAGAAGUUUUUGUGGCAGCAGAUUACCAUUCAGUUUUCAAUCUGGAUUUGUUAAUGUUUAAUGUGAAUAAUGAUAACGCAUUUAUCUAUGUUUAUGGAGUGUGAAAUAAAGGGUAAACCAGCAUCGAUAUUGGUUGAUGAGUUCACUGAGGCAUCAAUUGUUCCUCCUAGUGAUAGUGGCUUGGAUGACAGUGCUAAAUACACAUCUGGUUUGACUAUUUACCAGCAAGUCUGGGAAGCUGUAACAUUGGCAGAUCAAUCAGCGGUGGGGGUUCAAGGUCCUGUUAGUGUGGGAAGUGCAAGUGAUCGAUCUGGAUAAAUCAUGGCAUCUAGGGCCUAUGUUUUUACAAAAU